AUCUGUUCUUAUCAGUUUAAUACCUGAUAUGUCCUUUAUUUGAGGACUAUAUAUUAAAUUGAUUUUUGAAACUGGGGGAUGGAAUAGGAGCUUGCUCUGUCCAACCCAUGCAUUGACCUGGUAUUGCAAUGACUCUGGGAACAGUGC
RNAcentral lists this small nuclear RNA (147 nucleotides) under Chrysemys picta bellii (western painted turtle). RNAcentral's name for it is "U2 spliceosomal RNA (ENSCPBG00000017790.1)". It matches the Rfam family "U2 spliceosomal RNA", at positions 38 to 185 of the family's 192-position model. Rfam says of the family: U2 is a small nuclear RNA (snRNA) component of the spliceosome (involved in pre-mRNA splicing). The record is from RNAcentral. Lineage: Eukaryota; Metazoa; Chordata; Testudines; Emydidae.